RNAcentral lists this transfer RNA (71 nucleotides) under Camelus bactrianus (Bactrian camel). It matches the Rfam family "tRNA". From Rfam's summary of the family: Transfer RNA (tRNA) molecules are approximately 80 nucleotides in length. Their secondary structure includes four short double-helical elements and three loops (D, anti-codon, and T loops). Lineage: Eukaryota; Metazoa; Chordata; Mammalia; Artiodactyla; Camelidae. The record is from Rfam by way of RNAcentral. RNAcentral also lists the same sequence under 2 other names.
GAGGGUAUAGCUCAGUGCCUACCUUAUGCCUACCAUGCAUAAGGUCCUGGGUUCAAUCCCCAGUACCACCA